UGCAGAAAGUGUCUUAUGAACACUGAACGUUCCAUGAAACCAACAAAAAAAAAACAACAACAAAACGAGAGAGAGAAUAAAAUAUGAUCUCAAUGUAUUUUGAUAUUUUGUUGCCAUGGAACACUUUGAUUGAAUCGUUUAACAUUUCUCUAGUUGAUAAUGUAUGUCCAACACUAAACAAAAAAACUACUAACAUCAUCCAUAUGACUUUCCACAGAGAAGUCAGCAGUAUGUCUAAAUGUAAAGUACUAAGUACUCAUCUUUGUUGAUGAUCAUUUUUUUCACUUAGUGCUCUACAAGGUAACAGUGAACAGUCUCGUCAAAUUUUACAGUUCAUCUGACACUUUUAUUUUUCAUCAGUACAAUAUGACUUGUGACUUUAUGCUUUGCGGCAGUGAGGUUUGAACUUCACUGGGUACGUCAGAGAAGAUUUUAACGAACGUUCUUAAAGCAGUAAGAUUCUACUAAUAACUUCUUUCUGUCACGGGAUGAAUACCUUUGUGAAGCGAUGUUGUAUAUGUAUCACACACAUAUCUAUCUAGAAGAGUUAUUACCAGUAUACAGGCAUUGUCAGUGCACUUUUAGGUGUUCUCGGAGUGUUCCCACACGUGCCUGUCCUUUGUACUCAUCAACCGAAUCUGUAACCUGUCCGCUAGAAGUCUGGGCUUUUUUAAUACCUGACGUUUAGAUAUAUGGAGUUCAGCAGUAACUGUGAUCUUUAAAAUCCCCGUUUUGGUUACAAUGCACUAGUAUACAUUGUAUGGAAGACAGACACAUGCUCCGGAAACAAGUCAGAGGGGUUUAACAAAUUCUGCACCAUUUUUACAUUUGAAUACGUUUUAUAUCUUUUCUUUGUAAUGCAUUAACUUACAUUUACAUUCUUAAUGUUUUUGCCUUUGAUAUCUUUACACAUUGCAAUGUGAUAAUAGCUAUUUCAUCAUAAAUACGUUCGUUAUUUCCUCAUAAAUGUGUUGCAGAUGUGAAUAAUGCGCGUAUGAAUCUUGAUAAAUAUAGUUCGUCUUCUUUACUUUAACAGCUGGUGAUUCCAGUGGAUAUAAAAGUAGAAUGUACAUAUAAGAAAUCAAUUUCAGUUUCCAAAAUACAUAGGGGCAUGAACUGCGAUGCUUCACGCCGACAUACUCUACAUGUAGUGCUAAAUCGCUUCAUGAAAUACGUCAGCGGGAAGCGUUGCGGUUCAUAGUCUCAUGUACAUGUAUUUUCAAAAAUGAAAUAUAUUUUUUGAAUAACACUGAUCGAAAUUCUUUAUAGGCUCAAGGAUUCUAGGUAAGGCCUACAAAGAUGUGCAUUGUAUUGAGUUUCAUAGUGCUAUCGCUGUGGAUAAGAUGGAGUCCUCGACACCAGUGUGUUGAUCAUCACUGAGCAUAUCAGGAUUGAAGAUUUAUGAUCGAAUGUCAAACAAACGGGUAGGCGGAUGAAAGAGCACCACACUUAUCCGGGUAUUAGGUAGGAUACAGAGAAUUCGCAAGACAUUCUGGAGUGGGACGGUUAUCAUAGGUCAAAUAUGAACUGUAUGAUAUCUUCUGACAAAUUUACAUUUUCUUUGUAGAUAGAGAAAAUUUGUAUUUAUCAUUUUGCGAUAUUUUAUGUUAUUUAAAUGGUAAUAAAUUGAUUAUCAACA
This is a long non-coding RNA of Ostrea edulis (European flat oyster), 1639 nucleotides long. RefSeq lists it as uncharacterized. NCBI's taxonomy places the organism in Eukaryota, Metazoa, Mollusca, Bivalvia, Ostreida, Ostreidae. The transcript is spliced from 2 exons. The record is from RefSeq and is a predicted model, not a curated record.